CAGCCCCUCGAGUGGUGGGGAUGAUUAUUUGGCCUAAAGCGUCCGUAGCCGGCCGUGUAAGUCCCCCGUUAAAUCCAGCGUCCCAAGCGUUGGACUGCGGGAGAUACUGCUCGGCUAGGGAGUGGGAGAGGUGUGCGGUAUUCUGGGGGUAGGGGCGAAAUCCUUUGAUCCCCGGAGGACCACCAGUGGCGAAGGCUGCACACUAGAACACGUCUGACGGUCAGGGACGAAAGCUGGGGUAGCGAACCGGAUUAGAUACCCGAGUAGUCC
Molecule: ribosomal RNA, 270 nt
Filed under: uncultured archaeon
Lineage: Archaea
Description: partial 16S ribosomal RNA
Rfam family: Archaeal small subunit ribosomal RNA
Source: RNAcentral